CUCUCCUUGCUUUACAUUGGGCCUACCCCUAGGCCUGUCAGUGUGAGCUGGGAAUGCAGCACGCUCAUUGGCUUAGGCCUCAUUCCCAUCAUCCAACCCUGGCUCCAGGAGGAUGGGAUUAGUGUGACUCAAACACGUGGAAAGGAGUGGUUCUUCUGAGGAAAACCAGCUCAAGUACUACAGAAAGAGGAAAUGCUGCAGAGACCCAGCCGGAAACAGUGCUGGCCAGCUCACGCCUGACCCACCCUCAUUCUAAGCAUAGGGUCUGCCUCUGAAGAGCUAAAGACUUCCUGAAAUUUAAAAAUUAGUGCUUUUAUUUGCUUGUCCUGCUAAGACCGUAGGCAAAGGCCAUCCUCCUCCCAUUGACAGUUUAGAGUGGGCAGAAACAACCACGGUUACCCUAGAAGUAAAUCCAGAGCUGCGGGACGUUGGAGGACAAAACCAACCUUCCAGGGAAGCCGAGGAGAAGUCAUGCCUUCAAAAGGUGUCUGCCUUUUUUUUUUUCACCCUCUCUCCUCUAACCUGUUUGUAACUGGGAAAUGAAAUAGUUUUGGUUUGCAAGCUGUCGCCAGGGAGUGGAGCAAGACUUUGUAAUAAACAAGAGCAACUGCCAGAGCCCCCAGCGAGCCUCUCCAAGACCAGACUGCCAAGAAAACCUGGCAGUGUGACAGCAAGGUUCAUUCAGCGUGGCCGGUGGUCACUGAGGAGCGACCAUGAGGCGGAUGGCCAGAGGGAGUACCCCCCAGUCUCACCUUGGGGAAGAGUACAGCCUCCUAUUAGUGAGCUGUGUGGGCUAUUAAAAUUCCCCCAGGCUGAGUGUUUCAGGAAGCACCAUAAAUAAAUAAAAUUUUGUGUGUGUGUG
Molecule: long non-coding RNA, 862 nt
Organism: Pan troglodytes (chimpanzee)
Lineage: Eukaryota; Metazoa; Chordata; Mammalia; Primates; Hominidae
Exons: 2
Source: RefSeq, a predicted model, not a curated record